RNAcentral lists this ribosomal RNA (507 nucleotides) under uncultured bacterium. RNAcentral's name for it is "partial 16S ribosomal RNA". It matches the Rfam family "Bacterial small subunit ribosomal RNA", at positions 28 to 507 of the family's 1533-position model. The record is from RNAcentral.
GACGAACGCUGGCGGCGUGCCUAAUACAUGCAAGUCGAACGCUUCUUUCCUCCCGAGUGCUUGCACUCAAUUGGAAAGAGGAGUGGCGGACGGGUGAGUAACACGUGGGUAACCUACCCAUCAGAGGGGGAUAACACUUGGAAACAGGUGCUAAUACCGCAUAACAGUUUAUGCCGCAUGGCAUAAGAGUGAAAGGCGCUUUCGGGUGUCGCUGAUGGAUGGACCCGCGGUGCAUUAGCUAGUUGGUGAGGUACGGCUCACCAAGGCCACGAUGCAUAGCCGACCUGAGAGGGUGAUCGGCCACACUGGGACUGAGACACGGCCCAGACUCCUACGGGAGGCAGCAGUAGGGAAUCUUCGGCAAUGGACGAAAGUCUGACCGAGCAACGCCGCGUGAGUGAAGAAGGUUUUCGGAUCGUAAAACUCUGUUGUUAGAGAAGAACAAGGACGUUAGUAACUGAACGUCCCCUGACGGUAUCUAACCAGAAAGCCACGGCUAACUACGUG